This 65-nucleotide transfer RNA is filed under the name Leptogaster cylindrica. Its description in RNAcentral is "tRNA-Gly". The record is from RNAcentral. Lineage: Eukaryota; Metazoa; Arthropoda; Insecta; Diptera; Asilidae.
AUUUAUAUAGUAUAAAUAAUAUAUAUGACUUCCAAUUAUAAGAUCUAUAACAUAUAGUAUAAAUA